Molecule: unclassified non-coding RNA, 89 nt
Filed under: Pseudomonas antarctica
Lineage: Bacteria; Pseudomonadati; Pseudomonadota; Gammaproteobacteria; Pseudomonadales; Pseudomonadaceae
Source: RNAcentral
UGUGGGAGCUGGCUUGCCUGCGAUGGCGGUAUGCCUGUGCCAGAGAUGCAAGCUGGCCCUCCGCUAUCGCAGGUAAGCCAGCUCCCACA